This is a long non-coding RNA of Gopherus evgoodei (Goodes thornscrub tortoise), 3922 nucleotides long. RefSeq lists it as uncharacterized. Lineage: Eukaryota; Metazoa; Chordata; Testudines; Testudinidae. The record is from RefSeq and is a predicted model, not a curated record. The transcript has 3 exons.
UGUGAAUCAGAAGCAGGCAGCAUUAUCUCCUGAAAAUCCCAGUAUCAUGACCUGCUGGAAUUUCAGUCCAACAUCGAGGUAUCAGAACAGAGAUGUGAAAAAACCCACAUCCAAAAUGGAGUCUGCAGCCUGACACAGACUCCUCUCCAUUGUGAAAAAUAAUGGGAUUAACAGCCAACCUAUCAGGCCGAAUUUAAAUCAUAAGAGGCUUAUUCACUGGAAUGGAAAAGUCUGGCAAGCAAUUUGUGUCAGCCUCGUUCAGCAUGUCAAUAGAAGACCUGUGCCUCACCAGAACUAAACACUGACAAACAGGCGGGAUCUGGAACCCCAGAUUUUAGGCUUGUGAGUUCCCUGAAGAUUUGAGGCUUGUGUCUUGAGCACAGCCAUUGCUAAUGCACAAGGAAUAGUGUCGGUGCAAUACAGGGGUUACUAUUCACAGCAUUGUAACACAGUACAUUCUGUAACGAUUAACUAGUAGGUAAGAAAGCAACUUUCUCAGCAGUAUUCACCAUUAGUGAAUACUGAUGAUUAGUCUAUAAGGAGCCACAGGAUUCUUUGCUGCUUUUACAGAUCCAGACUAACACGGCUACCCCUCUGAUACUUGACACCAUUAGAUGUGUCUGUUCGAACCAGUAAUAACUCAUCUGUGUACAGCAUGGCCAUACAGAAGCCAAUACAACAGCCAGACUUCUAGCUUUAGCUCAUUGCUCUGAGAAUGAGAAUUUUUCCUAGAGUUUAUGCAUUUGGUAGAGCUGUGCUACACUCAGUCUCCCAUUUGUUUUCUCUCUCUCCUUAUAUUUGUCAGGAUCAAUUUGCAUUCAGUGACAAUAUGAGGGUUCAGGCACCCCCUACAUAACAUCCGACCAAGGCACUGUAACAAAGGAGGCUAUGAAACAAUAUUUCCUGGGGGAGGACAGCACUCCAUUGUGGUUUUCUUUGUUUUCUUUUUUAGCUAGGUUUUCAUGGCCUAUCAACCCAGCUGGUUUGACUUCCAAGGUAAAUGGUAGGGCCAAGGAAGAGUUUUCCUAUUAGGCAAGUGCAUUUUUGUUUAGAGUCAAAUGGAGCACAAAUAUAAAACAGAGACAGAGAGCGAUUCUUUAUGGUUUUACAGGUAACAGUAACAAAUUCUCUCAUGCCCACUGAUAUGACCAUUAUUAUGACCUUGAAUCCCUUCACUAGUUCCCCAUGUGUGUAAUUACAAAAUAGACACCAACAGGAACAAUGUUGUAGUGUUAGAAAGUGUUUUUGGACAACAUGGAAGACUGUGAGGAGAGCCCUAUGCAGCACAGUUAUCCACACAGGUUUAACCAGCAAACCCACAACACCCCCCUACAAACAUAACAUCCGUACAUAUACUGUGUUGUAUAGAACUCUGGUAACAAAUUCUAAAGGUCUCCUGUGAUUGCUGGGAGCUUAAUCACAGGAGCAUGAGACUUUGGAAGAAGCAAAUUUAUGUUAUAAACCUAAGGAAAGAAAUAUUUUAACAUCAAAAAACAGCAUUUUUUUACUCCUAAAAUACAGUCCCUGAUUUACUGACAAAUAAGCCUAGAAAAGCAUACACCAAUAAACACCAUGGACUGUAAAUAUAAAUGAGAGAGAAUUCUAAAUGAGGCAUUUAUUUCUUCCAAGAACACAAAGGAAAAAUGAAGCAGCAUAUUUCCUCUCUUGAAAAGUAAUUCUAUUUGUUCUGGCACAUUCAUUUUUGUGUGUGUUUGUUUACAACUAAGGUAAUUUGCUGAAAAAGUAUGGGAUUGGGGCAGAUACAACUGGGUCAAAAUAUUAAUUUCUGCAACCCAAACUGAAUCUUUAAAACCAAAACAAUUGUAGCUCCUGGAAUAAGUGAGAGAAUAAAAGUGUGAGGACAAAAAAUAAUUUAGCACCUGAUUAGCAAACUCUGCUGUUUCUGUAAUGUAUAUUUGUUUAUUUACCUUAUCUCUUUGUUUUAUUUUACCCAAGUACACUAUCGUCAUACUAAUUUGGAGCAUGUCCAUUUUAGGUUUUAAAAGUGGGUCAGUGCACCCAGAAAAUUCACACCAAACUGCACUUCCUGAACACACACAGGCAGACUUGUCAAAAUAUUCUCAUCAGCUGAGUAAAUUUUUGCUGGGAGCAAAAACAACAGCCUGGAAAACACAAGUGCCCUGCAAGCUAUCAAUUAGCCUUUACAUUACAAUAAACUUGUGUCAAAGAGAAAUUACUUCCAUGUUGUGUAAAGAAAUAUUGCUCUGCUUGAACUUAGAGAAAGGUAUAGCUUAGAAAAAAUCUGUGGAGACAACUCCAAUCUCCUCUUUAGAAAGAGAAAUAUUCUUGGCUAUAUAAUCAGGAUAAUUGGCUCAUAUGAAAAAUUCAACAACAAACUAAGAUUUGCACUCCCCCACAAUGAAACAAACUGUACCUCUGAACAAAAGGUACCUGCAGCGAGACUCUCUUCUGCUUUUUCUGCUUCAGAACUGGGCUCUUGUUCAGAACAAUGCUACAGCAUAUGCUUAAUUUUAAAGCACAUAAGUAAGUCCCAUUGAAGUCAAUGGGACUUGACUAUGGGUUCCCUUCCCAGCCCUCUCUGAUCCCCUUUUGGGGUUAGUAGCACUGACAGCUGCACUGGCUAGGAGCAAUCCUUGCACCCAAACUUGCUCAAGGACUGCAGGAGUGGCCAGCCUUUGUGAGGGGGUGCAAAUUGACGGGAGGAGUCAGUCAGUCAGUAGACAGAUACUGGGCUUCAUGGACCUUUGGUCUGACCUGGUACAGCCAUUCUUAUGUUAUGUUCUUAUGAUGAGAUGAUGUGCACAACAAGUUUAUUGUCCUACAAAGUCCAGGAACAAAGCUGCAUGUUCUUGCACACUGGCACCUGAUCUAGUAACUAGCUUUGACCAUGUAUGCAGCUAUUAAUCACUGAUGUAGCAGGCAAAGAGAGUUUGCUAAAGCAAUCCAGACAACUACUUGCUGGGAAAGUUGGCUUUCCGUAGCUGCAGUGUGAAAACACCUACAUGUGCCUGAUGCAUCUUUGUGCCCGGUAAGAGUUAUGUUUGUCCAAAAAGAUGGAUGGAAGUUUUGGCUCUAACCAUCAGUUCUGGGGUUUCCCCCACCAAAUACAAGGGGAGUUUACACACUUUUCAGGAAUGCCAGAGGUUUCAUUCACUUUCUAGAAUAAACAGCACCUAGCUAGCUCCAGAGACCAUCAGCUGGGUAAGACCUCUCUGAUUGCUUCCAAUUCUUCACAUCUUUCAUCUGAUUCACCGCUCUGUUUGUCAUGUGCAGCACACUAGGGUUCAAUCUGGUUUUGUCACACCCAUUGCAUUGUACAAAGCAAAGAAUGGGUUACUCUCCUUCCAGCAGAUUUUACAGCUGUAACAGAGACCCUGAAGUAAUGAUGGUGGUUUGAUAGUUUGAUAAAUAAAUCCAAUAUAAUUCAUGCAAAUUACUAAUGCAGGUUAAAUAAAUUAUUCCUUUUUAUUUACCUGUUGAGGUAGAUAUGAGGAAAUCUCACUCAGCGGAAGUUGCAGCAUUCUGUGAUCUCUCUAAGUGAAAGUAAAGGCAUGUCACAUUCCAGUUUGUCUAGUGAGGCAUGCCGCAGUCCAGGUGAAAUGUCACAGCCAAAAAGCCAGCCUGGGAAAUGUCCCUAGUUUAACAGCAAGGCACACCACAUGCCUCUAAAUAAUGCAGGCCUAACUGUGAAAUGGUGCAAUCCAUAUUGAUUGGCUAUAUAGUACUACUGAGCUACAAGCCAUUUGUAAUUAAAAGAGCUUUAAAUAAGGUAGGAAGGGUGUGUGAAGUUUCUAAAAGGUAUAAUAUAUUUUCUGUUCAUGCUAUGUCUGUGGUGGCUUUGGGCUUGUAAUUUCGGCAAAAGAUUUUGAAUUUGUCACAUAAUUCUAAUCUUGCUAACUCUGCCAAAGUCUCCAGUAAAGAAGUGAAUUGGAAGUAGAAC